Molecule: ribosomal RNA, 497 nt
Filed under: uncultured bacterium
Lineage: Bacteria
Description: partial 16S ribosomal RNA
Rfam family: Bacterial small subunit ribosomal RNA
Source: RNAcentral
GACGAACGCUGGCGGCGUGCUUAACACAUGCAAGUCGAACGGAGAGGCGCCUUCCUUUUUGGUGGGUGUGGAGGAGUGGCGAACGGGGGAGCAAGACGAGAGUAACCUUCUCCCUCCUUCUGGACAACGGCAUGAAAGUGUGGCUAACACGGGAUAUAUUGGGCCUGUUGCAUGAUGGGUCUGGGAAGGUUUUUGUGUCGGUGGGGGAUGGGUUCGCGGCGCAUCAGCUUGUUGGUGGGGUGAUGGCGUACCAAGGCGGCGAUGAGUAGCCGGCCUGAGAGGGUGGUGGGCGGCAACGGAGGGACUGAGACACGGAGAAGACUCCGAGAGGAGGCAGCAGGGAAGAAUACUGCACGAGGGGCAGAAGGCUGGUGCAGCGACGCGGCGUGAAGGAUGGACGCCGUCGCGUAGUGAACCUCUUUCAGGAAUGAAGAAGGGCUGCCUCGUUUGUGCGUGGGUUGACGGUAGCUGGAUAGGAAGCGCCGGCUAACUACGUG